RNAcentral lists this ribosomal RNA (497 nucleotides) under uncultured bacterium. RNAcentral describes it as "partial 16S ribosomal RNA". It matches the Rfam family "Bacterial small subunit ribosomal RNA", at positions 28 to 507 of the family's 1533-position model. The record is from RNAcentral.
GAUGAACGCUGGCGGCGUGCCUAAUACAUGCAAGUCGAGCGAACGGAUGAGAAGCUUGCUUCUCUGAUGUUAGCGGCGGACGGGUGAGUAACACGUGGAUAACCUACCUAUAAGACUGGGAUAACUUCGGGAAACCGGAGCUAAUACCGGAUAAUAUUUUGAACCGCAUGGUUCAAAAGUGAAAGACGGUCUUGCUGUCACUUAUAGAUGGAUCCGCGCUGCAUUAGCUAGUUGGUAAGGUAACGGCUUACCAAGGCAACGAUGCAUAGCCGACCUGAGAGGGUGAUCGGCCACACUGGAACUGAGACACGGUCCAGACUCCUACGGGAGGCAGCAGGAGGGAAUCUUCCGCAAUGGGCGAAAGCCUGACGGAGCAACGCCGCGUGAGUGAUGAAGGUCUUCGGAUCGUAAAACUCUGUUAUUAGGGAAGAACAUAUGUGUAAGGAACUGUGCACAUCUUGACGGUACCUAAUCAGAAAGCCACGGCUAACUACGUG